UGCCCCAUGGCUGAGUUGGUUACAGCGUCCGACUGUUAACAUUGCAGGCAAUCGGAAGGUCGUGAGUUCGAGCCUCACUGGGGCAG
Vararia minispora EC-137 is the source of this 86-nucleotide non-coding RNA. The record is from the annotation of a GenBank genome assembly. Lineage: Eukaryota; Fungi; Basidiomycota; Agaricomycetes; Russulales; Lachnocladiaceae.